CCAUAGCCCAAAUAAAACCAGAGUCUGCUUCCUGCUGCAGGGCAGGGACGCAGCACCAGGGGAGUCCUGGGUCAGACGGACAGCUUCCUCAGGUGUGUGUCGCCGGAGGGAUGUGUCCUGCACCGCACUGAGCCGCCCUGUCCUCCCUCCUGAGUCCCCCCAGGUGAGGGGUGGACGGCACCGUGGAGACUUCUACCCACUCCGAGAUGACAGCAACCCACCCAAGUUGUUAGUGACCGGCCGAAUCGAGACCUUGGUCUUGCUGGGUCACAGACCCCCUCGCCCCCAGCUGCCCUCCGGGGCCAACUUCUCUCCUGUGGAGACCUCUCCUGGCUGCUAUACCGCUUCUGAGCAGGAGGAAGCAUGCAGGGAAGCACAGAGUGCGAAACAGUGGUGAAGGCACCUCGUCCUCACUCGGAAAAGCGGGGACAUGCUGAUGCAAGCCGCAGUCCUCACUGUGAUUCUGAAUUACCAAGCCCUGGAGAACUGUUUGGUGGAGAAAUUUGACCCAAUCUCAUCAGUGAGGCCACAUGCAUAGCCUUUUAAAAAAAUCUGAUUUAGUGUGAAUGAUCACGCACUUCCCUGCAAUCUGCUGCUGUGCUCGAGUGCGGCACAUUGCUCCAGGCACUGCGGAGGACUGGACGUAAAAACUGCUGUGUACUGCGGACCUUCUACCUCUGGCUCAGGGGCACACGGGAGAGGCAGUGGAUGUGUGGUGCCCGGUUACAACCUCCAGCACUCCAGGGGGGAGCAAGGGGAAGAGCGAGCUCCUCGGCCACCUCUUCCCGAGGGAGGCCGUCAGAUGCUGCUUCUCAGUCCUUUUAGAACGUUUAUGAUGUGCCAUAGUUUUGAGACUCACAGCCUUGCCAGGCAGAGCCACGGAGAGGACCGAGACCAGGGCGGGUCCUGCAGAUGGAGGAUGGGGACCAGGGCCUGUAUCGAAGUCUGGGGCCCACUGCAGGGAAACCAACCGUUUCAACACAGGGCAUCCAAGAGCUAAGGAUCAGCAAUUAUUCAUGAACCUGCAGCACCAUGGCUACCUGUGGAAAAGAAACAAAUCUACACAGCCAAAGCUUCUGGAAUUGCUAAGAGAUUUCCUAAAAUCAACACCAGUAGAGCUCUUGUUAUAAAUCCUUGGGAUUUUUUCAGACUCAAGCAUUUCUAGAAAUUACCCAAUAAUAAAACGUCUUUGAAGAGCCAA
RNAcentral lists this long non-coding RNA (1201 nucleotides) under Heterocephalus glaber (naked mole-rat). RNAcentral's name for it is "lncRNA (ENSHGLG00000043423.1)". Lineage: Eukaryota; Metazoa; Chordata; Mammalia; Rodentia; Bathyergidae. The record is from RNAcentral.